GCGGCCCAAAUGGGCUCGUUCUGCUAUUAAGAAUUUAGCAAUUCCUACAAAGAGUAGUUUUGUUUCGGUUUCUGGUUUUGGGUUCCCGAAAGUUGCGUCAUCUGAGCCGUCUACAAUCUUGUUUUCUGAUACCAGCUGAUAUAUGCAUGCAGAGAAUUUCGUCGUCGAAAUUGGAUGGUGAGAUGAAGAAUUUUGUGGGAGAAGAAGAUUUGAAGCAUAUAUCUAAAACUUGUUAA
Molecule: long non-coding RNA, 236 nt
Filed under: Helianthus annuus (common sunflower)
Lineage: Eukaryota; Viridiplantae; Streptophyta; Magnoliopsida; Asterales; Asteraceae
Description: hypothetical non coding rna
Source: RNAcentral